This 254-nucleotide ribosomal RNA is filed under the name uncultured bacterium. RNAcentral's name for it is "partial 16S ribosomal RNA". It matches the Rfam family "Bacterial small subunit ribosomal RNA", at positions 524 to 776 of the family's 1533-position model. The record is from RNAcentral.
UACGUAGGUGGCAAGCGUUGUCCGGAAUUAUUUGGGCGUAAAGCGCGCGCAGGCGGCUUCUUAAGUCUGAUGUGAAAUCUCGGGGCUCAACCCCGAGCGGCCAUUGGAAACUGGGAAGCUUGAGUACAGAAGAGGAGAGUGGAAUUCCACGUGUAGCGGUGAAAUGCGUAGAUAUGUGGAGGAACACCAGUGGCGAAGGCGACUCUCUGGUCUGUAACUGACGCUGAGGCGCGAAAGCGUGGGGAGCAAACAGG